GACGAACGCUGGCGGCGUGCUUAACACAUGCAAGUCGAGCGGUAAGGCCCUUUCGGGGGUACACGAGCGGCGAACGGGUGAGUAACACGUGGGUGACCUGCCCUCAGCUCUGGGAUAAGCCUGGGAAACCGGGUCUAAUACCGGAUAUGACUCCAUGACGCAUGUUGUGGGGUGGAAAGCCUUGUGCGGCUGAGGAUGGGCCCGCGGCCUAUCAACUUGUUGGUGGGGUGAUGGCCACCAAGGCGACGACGGGUAGCCGGCCUGAGAGGGCGACCGGCCACACUGGGACUGAGACACGGCCCAGACUCCUACGGGAGGGCAGCAGUGGGGAAGUCUUGCGCAAUGGGCGAAAGCCUGACGCAGCGACGCCGCGUGAGGGAUGACGGCCU
Molecule: ribosomal RNA, 389 nt
Filed under: uncultured bacterium
Lineage: Bacteria
Description: bacterial SSU rRNA
Rfam family: Bacterial small subunit ribosomal RNA
Source: RNAcentral